GGGAGUGUUGCUGAGCGGUCAAAAGUGCCAGAUUGUAAAUCUGAUGGAAAUUUCCUUCAAAGGUUCGAAUCCUUUCGCUCCCA
This 83-nucleotide transfer RNA is filed under the name Oltmannsiellopsis viridis. RNAcentral's name for it is "tRNA-Tyr". It matches the Rfam family "tRNA". From Rfam's summary of the family: Transfer RNA (tRNA) molecules are approximately 80 nucleotides in length. Their secondary structure includes four short double-helical elements and three loops (D, anti-codon, and T loops). Lineage: Eukaryota; Viridiplantae; Chlorophyta; Ulvophyceae; Oltmannsiellopsidales; Oltmannsiellopsidaceae. The record is from RNAcentral.